This is a long non-coding RNA of Triplophysa rosa, 690 nucleotides long. RefSeq lists it as uncharacterized. The transcript has 3 exons. NCBI's taxonomy places the organism in Eukaryota, Metazoa, Chordata, Actinopteri, Cypriniformes, Nemacheilidae. The record is from RefSeq and is a predicted model, not a curated record.
UUUAUAAUAUGUUUACUCAUCUUCUAUAUUGGUUUUUUGAAAGGCGAUUAUAGCAGCAGAUUCUACGAAAAACAUAUAAAUGCUGAUUUCCCUGAUCGUUCAAAUUUGCUGUAAAAAUGUUACGGUAACUUAUUUUCACCAUGUUGCUGUGUUCUGCACGUGUGCAGAUGUGAGACUCGAGUCUAAGGCACGAUUCUAACGUAGUUUGUUUCUAAAAACUAUUAAAGCUCGUUAAUAUAUUACAUUUAGUAUGUUGCUAAGAAACUUUGUGUUCGAAAGGAACCUGAAGUUUAACAGAUAAUCACUCGUUUUUGUGGUUUCUACAGAACUUUGCGUGCUAAGACAAUGACCACGAGUUUGGCCUCGUGUUCUGUUCAGACAACAAUCAUGCUGUUACCAAAUGGGUAACCAUAAAUGCAUCCAGCUUAACAGUCAGACAUGGAUUUUGCUAUAAUCAAAUGUGUAUCCACAAGUGAAUCUGACUUUAUAAGUCAAACACAGGCAAGUUUAUAUAGUUUUAUUUGUCCAUUUUUGAUCAUCAAAUGCAUGUGAUGACUGACUUUUUUCCCCAACAGAUCGACUCUGUUGACUUUAUUUUCUAUUUAAGCCAAAGUUUCUGAAGCACAACCUAGAUUUCUUGACUUAAAUUAUGACUUAUUUGUUAUUAAAUCAAGUUAUUAUUUUCUGACU